RNAcentral lists this ribosomal RNA (472 nucleotides) under uncultured bacterium. RNAcentral describes it as "bacterial SSU rRNA". It matches the Rfam family "Bacterial small subunit ribosomal RNA", at positions 28 to 500 of the family's 1533-position model. The record is from RNAcentral.
GAUUAACGCUAGCGGCAGGCCUAAUACAUGCAAGUCGAGGGGCAGCAGGGUGUAGCAAUACAUCGCUGGCGACCGGCGCACGGGUGCGUAACACGUAUGCAACCUACCUUUAACUGGGGAAUAGCCCUCCGAAAGGAGGAUUAACACCGCAUAACAUCACGAGACGGCAUCGCCUUGUGAUCAAACCUCCGGGGGUUAAAGAUGGGCAUGCGUCCGAUUAGCUAGUUGGCGGGGUAACGGCCCACCAAGGCGACGAUCGGUAGGGGGUCUGAGAGGAUGAUCCCCCAACUGGUACUGAGACACGGACCAGACUCCUACGGGAGCAGCAGUAAGGAAUAUUGGACAAUGGUCGCAAGACUGAUUCAGCCAUGCCGCGUGCAGGAUGAACGAUCUAUGAUCUGUAAACUGCUUUUGUUCGGGAAUAACCCCUUCACGUGUGGAGGCUGAAUGUACCGAAGAUAAGGGUCGCUAA